UCCCUGAUAGCUCAGUUGGUAAAGAAUCUGCCUGCAAUGCAGGAGACCCUGGUUCGAUUCCUGGGCCAGGAA
RNAcentral lists this transfer RNA (72 nucleotides) under Ovis aries (sheep). It matches the Rfam family "tRNA". Rfam says of the family: Transfer RNA (tRNA) molecules are approximately 80 nucleotides in length. The record is from Rfam by way of RNAcentral. RNAcentral also lists the same sequence under 3 other names. Lineage: Eukaryota; Metazoa; Chordata; Mammalia; Artiodactyla; Bovidae.